This 3178-nucleotide long non-coding RNA is filed under the name Helianthus annuus (common sunflower). RNAcentral's name for it is "hypothetical non coding rna". The record is from RNAcentral. Lineage: Eukaryota; Viridiplantae; Streptophyta; Magnoliopsida; Asterales; Asteraceae.
CUUAUUCUGGCCAAAUUUUGGCUAGAUGCCGGCCAAAUUUUGACCAAACCAUAUAAAUUCCUUCCGAUUACUUAAAAAAUGGGUUAAUGAGGGAUUAAAACAUGUCUAAUUCAAAAAACUACAUAUAAAAAUGUGUGUGUGUAUAUGUAACUAAAAAUUGCAUAUAAAAAUCUCAAUCCGAUUAAUUUCGAUUAAUUGCUAUUAAUCCCGAUUAAUCGCUAGUCGGUACCCCGCCGCCCGACUAGCGCCUAGCGAUUCUUACAACACUGGUAGUUAUUAUUCUCUUUUUAAUCACUACAAUCAUGAUAUAUGUGAUUCGAGCAAUUACAUUCGAUCCCCUAUAUAUAUGUGAGUGAGUUCUCUAUACUAUAAGGAGUGGUUGUGAGUGAAGAUAGGAAUGACAAUGGGCCAGGUAUUGGUAAUCCCAAGCCCGUACCCGAUUGUAAUUCUUUGGCUCAUACCCGUCCUGUUACCUGUCAGAUAAUUACCUGAUCAGGUAUACCCAUUAAUUUGUUAAAAAUACCAUUGAGACUCCUAUGUGCAUUUUUUACUCCCAUGUUUAUUUAAUUUACUAUUUUUACUAUGAUUUUAUUUAUAUAUCAUAUUCAAAUGCACAUUUGAAACAUAUAUCUACAUAAUUAACUAAUUUAGGUACUACAACUUUGAAACACAUAAUGUCAGUUUAUGUAUUUUGCAUUUAAUCAAACACUAGACAUGAAAAAUAGUAGCAUUAACGGGACACAAGUAAUCUCCCUAACAACUUGAAAUAUAUUUAGAAAAUUCCAAAACUAAUACACAUUUUUAAUCUGCAUAGAACCGACAUAACUAAACAUAAAAUCUUGUAUGUGUAUAUUAAAGUCUUGAAGACAAACAACAAAGUAAAAUCUAUGAAUAAUGAAUAAGUUUAUGUACUAUAGUUUAUAUAAAUGGAAAAUUAAAUUUAAAUUAAUAUACUUUUUGGGAAUUAUUCGGGUAAACGGGCCGGGUAUCACUAAAUCUCAUAACCGUACCUGAAUUAUUUAAUAGUUUUAAUCACAUACCCGGUUUAUACCCGUCGGGCUUCGGGUAUACCCAGCCCAUAUGUUUUGGGUUUCAGGUUACCCGUGGGGUUUGGGCUUUUUUGCCAUCCCUGGUGAAGGAGAGAAAAAAUGUUACAUUUUCAUCAGCAAAUUUGGUAAGAUAUUGUUCACCCUUCUAUAAUUUUUUUAAUAUUUUUUUAAAGUGGUCGUAAGUGGAGGAGAGGGAAAAGAUAACGAUAAAAAUAUAAAAAAAUAUUAUUUAAUUAAAAAUGAUAGAGAAAAGAUAACGAUUUUUAGUGUUAUUAUAAAGAUGGAGAUGAAGAAUCAAUUGUGAAUGCUCUAACAUAUAUAAAUUUGUAACUACAAAUUUACUUAUAUCAUAUAUAUUUCUAUUGUAUGUUUAAAAUUGCUUAUCUAGAUUUACCUAUUUCUCUCACGGUUACCAAUUAGUUGUUUAUUACAGUAAGGGUCCUAUCGGUAAUGAUGGUGAUCGCAUUGUUUAUGCACAUAUCUUAUCGAGAAAUAAUAUUUUAAUGAAAGUCAAGAACAUUUGCUAUGUAAGGUUGGUUUGUUUCUAAAAGAACCGGUUUUUACGCAUGGCCAUAUGUGGCAUUGUCCAAACUAAAAAGUAUAGAUGACCUUAAGCUAUUGAUACCUGAUGAGGAUGAUCAAAUUACAAAUAAAACUACAAAUGUCGUGUAUAAAGAAGUGUUUAGAGAUUUGCAAAUGUAAUGUAUAUCUUGAUUUUAUAUUGUUCGAUUUAAUAAGAAUAAUUCAUAUAUGUAAAUUGGUUUACACAUUAUAGAAGUUACAUUAAUUUUAUCUUCAUACACGUGUAAUACGUGAGUCUAUAAACUUGUUUUAUUAUAUAAUUAAAACCCAAGAUAUAUAAAAGUAUCCAUAUUUCAAAGCUGUUUUUAAGAGAAAAAAAAAUCAUUAUCAAUUCCUUAUUAUAAGUUAAUUACCUAACUUUUUAAUCGUAAAAUCACUACUUUUAAUGUUCUUUUAUUAUUAUGAAUAUUUUUUGAUUGGUUAAAACAUAGCAUCACUAUGCACUUUUUGGCAUGGACAAAUUCUAUACGUGUUUACGAACAAUUUUUCUCUAUUUAACUUUAUUACUAAUAACACACAAAGUAUACAAACAUAUCAAUACUAAUUAAUUAGAAUUCCUUUAAAGCAUUUUAUUUACUUAAUUUUAAAUAAUAAUGAAACAAUAUUAAAUUCGAAUGACCGAUUUGCAUAGUUGAUAAAAAAACUUUUAGUUCAUGAAAUAUUACUGCAAGUUGAGUAGAAUUUAAUGAUUUCAAACUUCUUUUUUUUUUUAACUGUGACUUUCUUUUUUAGUGACCAACGUCAUACUGUCUAAACGGCGGCCCUAGCCAUGAUCUCUCCAGACUACGUUGUCUUAACCGGUUACGCGCUGGGUUGGUCAGACUUGGUUACAGCGUUCCCCCGGAAACCGUACUGCCUCCACACAAAAUGUCUCGCUGAAGUAACAGCCGGAUGAAAACCGAGGUGCGGCUCAGGAUCGAACCCCCCUCGGUGAGUUUAUCACCAUCGUUGCCCAAUAUCCACAUUUUCAAACUUUCUUUUUAAACUACAUCUGGACUAAAAAUAUUAUUAAAGUAAAAAAUAAUAAACAUGCAAGUUUUUAAUAUUUAUUAAUUUAGGUAAAUUCUAGAGAUGUGAUGAAAAAAUAGUUAAAACACUAGCGUGGCCGGUGGCACAUGCAAGUAGAAAAAGAACUUGGCCGUUCUUCAGUUAUCCAAGGCAUGACGCGUAAGCGAAUGUUGUUUAAUGAUUAAUUAAAUCAAGUCAAUAAAACGUCUAAAGAGUUUUAUAUUGAUAUUAAUUUUAAGGAGGGGGUGUCUACUGGAUGAUUUUGUUGGAACUAAAAAAAUACGUUAUAUAUUUACUAAAUGCAAAGCCUUUUACAAGUUACAACACAACAUUUAAGUUUGAAAGACUUUAGUUCUACUCACACAAAAAUAAAGAAAUGCGUCGUCCUAAAAUAUAUAUAAUUCAAUUUUGACAAAUAGUUCACACAUACCAAAUUAUAUGAAAUCAUAUUAGACGGUAUGGUUUGGUUUUUGUAUCAUAAAAAGUUAUAUUUGAAAGUUGAAAAUGACCCUUUCAAUCUGUGUUUCUAUGAAUCUUGA